CGGGGUGGAGGUAACGCGUGGGUAACCGUGCCUGUACUGGGGACGAACAGUUGGAAACGACUGCUAAUACCGCAUAAGCGCACAGCUUCGCAUGAAGCAGUGCGAAAAACUCCGGUGGUACAAGAUGGACCCGCGUCUGAUUAGCUGGUUGGUGAGGUAACGGCCCACCAAGGCGACGAUCAGUAGCCGGCCUGAGAGGGUGAACGGCCACAUUGGGACUGAGACACGGCCCAA
RNAcentral lists this ribosomal RNA (234 nucleotides) under uncultured bacterium. RNAcentral's name for it is "partial 16S ribosomal RNA". It matches the Rfam family "Bacterial small subunit ribosomal RNA", at positions 104 to 334 of the family's 1533-position model. The record is from RNAcentral.